UCCUGGCUCAGAGUGAACGCUGGCGGCAGGCCUAAUACAUGCAAGUCGAACGGCAGCACAGCAGAGCUUGCUCUGUGGGUGGCGAGUGGCGGACGGGUGAGGAAUACAUGGGAAUCUGCCCAGUCGUGGGGGAUAACGUAGGGAAACUUACGCUAAUACCGCAUGCGCCCUUCGGGGAAAGCCGGGGACCUUCGGGCCUGGCGCGAUUGGAUGAGCCCAUGUCGGAUUAGCUAGUUGGCGGGGUAAUGGCCCACCAAGGCGACGAUCCGUAGCUGGUCUGAGAGGAUGAUCAGCCACACUGGAACUGAGACACGGUCCAGACUCCUACGGGAGGCAGCAGUAGGGAAUAUUGGACAAUGGGCGCAAGCCUGAUCCAGCCAUGCCGCGUGAGUGAAGAAGGCCCUCGGGUUGUAAAGCUCUUUUGUCCGGAAAGAAAAGCGCCGGGUUAAUACCCUAGUGUCCUGACGGUACCGGAAGAAUAAGCACCGGCUAACUUCGUG
This 500-nucleotide ribosomal RNA is filed under the name uncultured bacterium. RNAcentral describes it as "bacterial SSU rRNA". It matches the Rfam family "Bacterial small subunit ribosomal RNA", at positions 17 to 507 of the family's 1533-position model. The record is from RNAcentral.